UGGGGAAUAUUGCACAAUGGGGGAAACCCUGAUCCAGCAAUGCCGCGUGUGCGAAGAAGGCCUUCGGGUUGUAAAGCACUUUUGUCAGGGAAGAAAUCCUUUGGGCUAAUACCCUAGGGGGAUGACGGUACCUGAAGAAUAAGCACCGGCUAACUACGUGCCAGCAGCCGCGGUAAUACGUAGGGUGCAAGCGUUAAUCGGCAUUACUGGGCGUAAAGCGUGCGCAGGCGGUUGUGUAAGACAGGUGUGAAAUCCCCGGGCUUAACCUGGGAAUUGCAUUUGUGACUGCACGACUAGAGUGUGUCAGAGGGGGGUGGAAUUCCACGUGUAGCAGUGAAAUGCGUAGAUAUGUGGAGGAACACCAAUGGCGAAGGCAGCCCCCUGGGAUAACACUGACGCUCAUGCACGAAAGCGUGGGGAGCAAACA
This 427-nucleotide ribosomal RNA is filed under the name uncultured bacterium. RNAcentral's name for it is "partial 16S ribosomal RNA". It matches the Rfam family "Bacterial small subunit ribosomal RNA", at positions 355 to 774 of the family's 1533-position model. The record is from RNAcentral.